This 536-nucleotide ribosomal RNA is filed under the name uncultured bacterium. Its description in RNAcentral is "bacterial SSU rRNA". It matches the Rfam family "Bacterial small subunit ribosomal RNA", at positions 777 to 1311 of the family's 1533-position model. The record is from RNAcentral.
AAUAGAUACCCUGGUAGUCCACGCCGUAAACGUUGGGAACUAGAUGUAGGGACCAUUCCACGGUUUCUGUGUCGCAGCUAACGCAUUAAGUUCCCCGCCUGGGGAGUACGGCCGCAAGGCUAAAACUCAAAGGAAUUGACGGGGGCCCGCACAAGCGGCGGAGCAUGCGGAUUAAUUCGAUGCAACGCGAAGAACCUUACCAAGGCUUGACAUACACGAGAACGGGCCAGAAAUGGUCAACUCUUUGGACACUCGUGAACAGGUGGUGCAUGGUUGUCGUCAGCUCGUGUCGUGAGAUGUUGGGUUAAGUCCCGCAACGAGCGCAACCCUCGUUCUAUGUUGCCAGCACGUAAUGGUGGGAACUCAUAGGAGACUGCCGGGGUCAACUCGGAGGAAGGUGGGGAUGACGUCAAAUCAUCAUGCCCCUUAUGUCUUGGGCUUCACGCAUGCUACAAUGGCCGAUACAAAGGGCUGCAAUACCGCAAGGUGGAGCGAAUCCCAAAAAGUCGGUCUCAGUUCGGAUUGAGGUCUGCAAC